This is a long non-coding RNA of Astatotilapia calliptera (eastern happy), 1678 nucleotides long. The record is from Ensembl. Lineage: Eukaryota; Metazoa; Chordata; Actinopteri; Cichliformes; Cichlidae.
GUGGAAUGCACUUCCACUCAUGCACAUAACGUCUGCUGACAACAAACCUGACCUCCUGAGGAAUCUGGUGCCUUUCUUCCCCCCUCCUUACAUCUCAGAGAACUGCAACAAUCGGGUAAACAUGAAGCCCAAGUCUCUUCCAUCCAGGCUGUUUCAGAGAGAUUCACCUGCAACAGCAUCAGGCAAGAGUCCCAGCAGAAGUGCAGCAAAGUAUGAGCGGCAUGUGGACUGCGUUGAUCACCCAGAGCUGCUGGAUCCAUCUUUGUCCAACGACGGGCAGCAAACAGCUGACAGCAACAGGCAACACGAGAAGUGCCACAGAGAAACACUUUUCGCCUUCCUGCCAGAGAGGUACGAGCCACUGGUGGAUGAUGAGGCGAAAGCCAAGGCAAAAGAAGAGAAGAAGAAAAAGAAGAAGGAAAACUACAAAAAAGUCAAGAAGAAUGUCGGCAAGGCGCUGCGUUCCACAUGGAAGUGUUUGAUGCUUGGUCUCUACAGCUUUGCUCUCGGAUACUCCACUCCCAUCACGGUGGCUGCUACUUUUGUCCCUGACUUUCACCCGAGCAGGAACAGGACCUGAUUCGAGCUCUGUCGAUCUCCUCCACUUUGUUUUCAUACUAUAUAUACCAGUAACUCGCAGACUCUUACCAAAGACUUUAAAAAUGUGAAUAAUGAUUGUGCAAUUCAGAUUACAUUUUCAAAUUCCCUGCUUUUGCAGAUCUUACAAGAUCUACUGCAUGGUCAUAUUUGCAGAAAUAUGCAAGAUCAUAAAAUCUUAUUAAGUAUUAGGUUAAAUACUGAAAACACUUGUUUUUAAAUCAAGUGUCUGCAUGUGUUCAAAGGGAUUAUGUGGGCAUGUGGAAACUAUAGCAGGGCAGCAAUAACAGGAAUAUUCACCGUAGCUGCAGGUGAGGUGAGUCAAGCCAGAGACCUCUUUAAGGGAUUUGCAAGCAGGAAAGACUCAACAAGGAGGUGAUUAUCAGUAAUACUGGAAGAGCAAGUAAACAGAAAGGAACCGGCCCAGUCCUUUUCUGGGUGGCACAACUUAGGUGCUUUUUGGUGUACAAAUUCUGCUGUGAAACUAAACUUAACAAACACAAAAUGAAAUAAGACUGAAACCAAAAAUGAAAACUAACAAAAUAAAUAUUUUUUUUACUUUCAAAACUAGUAGUAAUAGUUUUAAUAGUUAAAAUCUUUUUUGCAAAUUUGAGAACACAAGUAUGAGGAGGUUUUUCAUUUUGGGUGUUUUGGUGGGUGGUGGGCGGCUACAUGACUUUUACGGUCAAAAGCCUUUACAAAAACAGAAAGCUAACUAAAUAAGAUACAAUUUUAAAAAAACAACAACAAAUUAAAUAAACUAAUAUAAAUUAAAAAACAAAAAUAGAACUUUGCUGUAAAUACUAUAAUGUGACGCCCAAGAUUUGAAGAAUUCUCUGCUUGGAACAAAAUAUUCUGACUUUUAAGAUAUUUUUAAAGAUGUGUGUAGAUUUGAUCAUUUGUAAAUUAUUAAUUAUUCAUGAUGUUUGUACUUUUGAUUAAAAUAAAGCAUUACUAGGAAUGCAUCUGAAGAGAAAUUGACGUUUUUAUUAUUAUUACUACUAUUAUUAGAGUGAACUCAUUUUAACAAACAUAACACAUUCACGUGUUGAUUUAAUAAUUCAUGAAUAACAACUUUGGC